GCAAUCUCAGGUCAGGCGGGACUAACCGCUGAGUUUAAGCAUAUCAAUAAGCGGACCAAAAAAAACUAACUAGGAUUCUCUUAGUAACUGUGAGCGAACCGGGAAAAGCCGAAGCUUAGAAUCGGGCGGCCCUCCAUCCGAACUGUAGCUUGGAGAAACGUCUUCAGCGGCGGAUCGAGCACAAGUCCCCUGGAUUAGGGUAUCAGAGAAGGUGACAGUCCCAUUGUGCUCGAACCUUGUCGCACCACGAGAUGCUGUUGGCGAGUCAAGUUUGGGAAUGCAACCCUAAUUGGGCAAUAAAUUCUGUCCAAGUCUAAAUACGGGCGAGAGAUCGAUAGCAAACAAGUAUGGUGAGGGAAAAUGAAAAGGACUUUGAAAAGAGAGUCAAAGAGUGCUUGAAAUUGCCGAGAGGGAAGCGGAUAGGGGCCAGCGAUACGCCCCGAUCGGGUGUGGGACGUCGUCUAAACGGUCCGCCGAUCGGCUCGAGGUGUGGACAAGUGCGGAUUAGGGAGGUGCCAAAGCCCAAGAUGUAGAAAUGCUCACGGAGAUGCUAUCACCUCGAUCGAGGAAGGAAGCGCGUGCCAUCGCCGUACUUCAGUAUCUGUGUGCUCUCGCUGCUGGCCUGCGGGCUCCCCAUUUGACCCGUCUUGAAACACGAACCAAGAAGUUUGACAUGUGUUCGAGUCCACGGGUGAGUAAACCCAUAAGGCGCAAGGAAACUAAUUGGCAGCAUCCCUCCAAGGGGUGCACCAUCGACCGACCUUGAUCUUCUGAGAAGAGUUCAAGUGUGAGUAUGCUUGUCGAGACCCGAAAGAUGGUGAACUAUGCUUGAGUGGGGUGAAGCCAGUGGAAACUCUGGUGGAGGCCUACAGCGAUACUACCGUGCAAAUCGUUCAUCUAUCUUAGGUAUAAGAGCGAAAGACUAAUUGAACCGUCUAGUAGUUGGUUCUCUCUGAAGUUUCCCUCAGAUAGCUGGAGCUCACGUAUGUGUUCUAUCGGGUAAAGUAAAUGAUUAGAGGCAUCGGGGGCGUAACAAUCGACCUAUUCUCAAACUUUAAAAAUUUAGGAUGGGACGGCUACUUUGUUGAGCCGUCCCAAGAAAUCAAGAGCUCCAAGUGGACAAUUUUUGGUAAGCAAAACUGGCGGGAUAAACCGAAAGCUGGGUUAUGUUGUCAUAUUGCACGCUAACCUAGAUACCACAAAGGGUGUUAGUCGAUUAAGACAGCAGGACGGUGGCCACAGAAGUGGAAAUCCGCUAAGGAGUGUGUAGCAGCUCACUUGCUGAAUCAACUAGUCCCGAAAAUGGAUGGCACUUAAGCGCGCGACCUAUACCCGAUCGUCGGGAGAAGUGACAAGGUUUAAUGAGUAGGAGGUAACGACGGUCAUUGGAAAACUUGGGGCACGAGCCUGGGCAAAGCGACCAUCGGUGCAUAUCCUUGUGGUAGUAGCAAACAUUCAAGUGAGAACUUUGAAGGCCGAAGAUGGGAAAAGUUUCAUGUGAACGGCACUUGUAUAGAGGCUAAUCCUAAAGGGACUCUGGUUAAAAUUCCUUAACCGGGAAGUGGGGGCUGACAGCAAUGUUAGGGAGUACAGAGACAUCGGUGGGGCCUUGGGAAGAGUUAUCUUUUCUUUUUAAUAACCUGCCCACCCUAGAAGCGGCUCAAUCAGAGGUAAGGCCAAGCGGCUGGAAGAGUUCCGCACGUCCUGUAGUGUCUAGUGCGCCCCCGGCGGCCCUUGAAAAUUCGAAGGACCGAGUGUCGUUCACGCCCGGUCGUACUCAUAACUGCAUAAGAUCAUCAAGGUGAAUAACCUCUGGUUUAUGGAAUAGUAGGUAAGGAAAGUCGGUAAAAUGGAUCUGUAACCUCGGGAAAAGGAUUUGCUCUAAGGACUGGGUGCGAGGGUCCCAAUCCCGAACCCGUUAGCUAUCAGAAGACUGCUUAAGCUACUCUUGCAGCAAGAGCAGGUCACCGCAUGCCGGCCAGGGGACAAAUUGGAACUGCUCCCUCAGGGGCCUUCCCCUGGCAUCAAACAGCCAACUCACAACUUGUACAGACAAGGAGAAUCCAACAUGUUAAUCAAACUAAAGCAUUGCAAUGGUCCCUGUAGAUGCUAACGCAAUGUGAUUUCUGCCAAGUGCUUUGAAUAUCAAAGUGAAGAAAUUCAACCAAGCGCGGUAAACGGCGGGAGUAACUAUGACUCUCUUAAGGUAGCCAAAUCUCUCGUCAUCUAAUUAGUGAUGUGCGUGAGUAGAUUAAUGAGAUUCCGACUAUCCUUGUCUACUAUCUAGUGAAACCACAGCUAAGCAAACGAGCUUGGCAGAAUCAGCAGGGAAAGAAGACCCUAUUGAGCUUGACUCUAGUCCAACUUUGUGAAAUGACUUGGGAGAUGUAAGAUAAGUGGGAGCCCUCGGGCGAAAGUGAAAUACCACUACUUUUAACGUUAUUUUACUUGUUCCUUGAAUCGGAGGUGGGGCUUAUGCCCAUCUUUCUGGACCUAAGGUCACAACGGAGGCCAAUACGGUGGAAGACAUUGUUAGGUGAGGAAUUUGGUUGGGGCAGCACGUCUAAUUAGUGACGCGCAUGAAUGGCUUAACGAGAUUACGACUGUGCGUGUCUACUAUCUAGCAAAACCAUAGCCCAGGGAAUGGGCUUGGUAGAAUCAGUAGCGAAAGAAGACCCUAUUGCACUUUACUUUAGUCCAACCUUCUGAAAUGACUUGCGAGUUGUAGGAUAAGUGAAAGCGCUAGGGCGAAAGUGAAAUAUCACUACUUUUAACGUUAUUUUACUAAUUCCAUGAAUUGGAUGCCGAAUUUACGCCCCUCUUUUUGGACCUAAGGUUGCCUCGGUAGCUGAUCCGGGCAGAAGAUAUUGUCAGAUAGGGAGUUUUGUUAGGGCAGCACAUCUGCUAAAAGAUAACGCAGACAUCCUAAGAUGAGCUUAAUGAGAACAUAAAUCUUGUGUGGAAAAGAGGUGUAAAAGCUCGUUUGGUUCUGAUUUCUAGUACGAAUUCGAACCGUGAACGUACCCUAACAAUCCUUUAGAUCUUUGGAAUUUGAAGCUAGAGGUGCAAGAAAAGUUACCACAAGGAUAACUGCCUUGUGGCAGCCAACCGUUCAUAGGACGUUGCCUUUGGAUCCUUCAUGUCGGUUCUUCCUAUCAUUGUGAAGCAGAAUUCACCAAGUGUAGGAUUGUUCUCCCACCAAUAGGGAACGUGUUCUGGGUUUAGACCGUCUUGAGACAGGUUAGUUUUACCCCACUAAUGACAGUAUUGCAAUAGUAAUUCAACCUAGUACGAGAGGAACCGUUGAUUGGCGCAAUUAGUUAUCGUGCUUUGUUGAAAAGCCAGUGGCGAAGCUACCGUGUGUUGGAUUAUGACUGAACGCCUCUAAGUAAGAAUCCAGGCUAGAAGCAAUGCGUACGCCCACCGUCCAUUUGCCAACCAAUAGCAGGGGCCUUUCUGCGAUAAUCAAGAGACUUUACAAUAUAUAGGGUUCUUUUUUUAUUCUAUAGGUGAUGAUGCAUACAUAGUCGUCUUU
RNAcentral lists this ribosomal RNA (3535 nucleotides) under Catharanthus roseus (Madagascar periwinkle). Its description in RNAcentral is "eukaryotic LSU rRNA". It matches the Rfam family "Eukaryotic large subunit ribosomal RNA". Lineage: Eukaryota; Viridiplantae; Streptophyta; Magnoliopsida; Gentianales; Apocynaceae. The record is from RNAcentral.